This 455-nucleotide long non-coding RNA is filed under the name Physcomitrium patens. Its description in RNAcentral is "long non-coding RNA (PPAT_LNC012011)". Lineage: Eukaryota; Viridiplantae; Streptophyta; Bryopsida; Funariales; Funariaceae. The record is from RNAcentral.
UAGAAUACUAACAAUGCUCUAAUUAGAGUAUAAUAAUGGUAAACAAACGUAAUCAAAUUCAAAACAACUCAAAGAAAUUUCAAACAAACAAUAAAAUUCUUAAAGAAAUAUUAGAAUGAUCACAAAUUUUACUCAAAUAUAUGUCAAUUCAACCUUAAUUUAAUUCUAGUUAAAACCCUAUUGAUUUUCACUCAAUUUUAGAUCAAACCUGAUUAAAUCUUAAACCCUAAUAAUUCCUAAACCCUAAGUCAAAUCCUAAAUAAAUCUUAAAUUAAACCCUAUUUCAAAUCCUAAAUCCUAAAUCAAAUCCUAAAUCAAAUCCUAAACCAAAUCCUAAUCCAAAUCCUAAAUCCUAAACCAAACCUUAAAUCAAACCCUAACCAAACCCUAAUUCAAAUCCUAAAUCAAAUCCUAACCAAACCCUAAAUAAAAUCCUAACCAAACCCUAGUCCAAA